UACGUAGGGACGAGCGUUGUCCGGAAUUACUGGGCGUAAAGGGCGCGCAGGCUGUAGAUCAAGUCAGCUGUGAAAUGUCUGGGCUUAACCCGGGCAUGCGGUUGAAACUGAUGUACUGGAGUGCUGUAGAGGCAAGUGGAAUUCCCAGUGUAGCGGUGAAAUGCAUAGAUAUUACACAGAGCACCGAUUGCGAAGGCAGCUUACUAAUCCAUCAUUGACGCUGAGGCACGAAAGCGUGGGGAUCAAA
Molecule: ribosomal RNA, 247 nt
Filed under: uncultured prokaryote
Description: partial 16S ribosomal RNA
Rfam family: Bacterial small subunit ribosomal RNA
Source: RNAcentral